AAAUUGACUUUUAAUUGGGGCCUUGAAUGAAGGGAUUAAUGGAUAAUAACUGUCUCAAAUUAAAUUAUUAAAAGUUACUUAAAAGGUGAAAAUUCCUUUAGAAAUAUAAAAGACGAGAAGACCCUAGGAGUUUGAAAUUUUGUUGGGGCGACAAUAUAGCAUUUAACCUAUAUAAUUAUAUAAUAUAUAAUGAGUUUUAAUUUUAAUUAAACUACCCUAGGGAUAACAGCAUAAUUUAAUAGUUUG
This 246-nucleotide ribosomal RNA is filed under the name Ovachlamys fulgens. Its description in RNAcentral is "partial 16S ribosomal RNA". Lineage: Eukaryota; Metazoa; Mollusca; Gastropoda; Stylommatophora; Helicarionidae. The record is from RNAcentral.